GCCUUCGUGGUGUAGUAGUCAGCACCCUCGACUCGUAUUCGAGAGGUCAGUGGUUCGAAUCCCGUCGAGGGCA
Molecule: transfer RNA, 73 nt
Filed under: Stegodyphus mimosarum
Lineage: Eukaryota; Metazoa; Arthropoda; Arachnida; Araneae; Eresidae
Rfam family: tRNA
About the family: Transfer RNA (tRNA) molecules are approximately 80 nucleotides in length. Their secondary structure includes four short double-helical elements and three loops (D, anti-codon, and T loops). Further hydrogen bonds mediate the characteristic L-shaped molecular structure. tRNAs have two regions of fundamental functional importance: the anti-codon, which is responsible for specific mRNA codon recognition, and the 3' end, to which the tRNAs corresponding amino acid is attached (by aminoacyl-tRNA synthetases). tRNAs cope with the degeneracy of the genetic code in two manners: having more than one tRNA (with a specific anti-codon) for a particular amino acid; and 'wobble' base-pairing, i.e. permitting non-standard base-pairing at the 3rd anti-codon position.
Source: Rfam by way of RNAcentral